Molecule: long non-coding RNA, 419 nt
Filed under: Anolis carolinensis (green anole)
Lineage: Eukaryota; Metazoa; Chordata; Lepidosauria; Squamata; Anolidae
Description: lncRNA (ENSACAG00000035185.1)
Source: RNAcentral
UUCCGCUGGAUCCAUCUUGCAGAUUUAUAAAAUCAGUUACAAAUGAACGUGUCAAGACUAUUGACCCGAAGCAUUUACCAGGACUGACAGCUCUGUGUUUUGACUUGCUGUCAAGUGUUGCAAUUUUUUGCCCCAUUUAUUUGUCCCAGAUUAUGAGGCUGUCUGGAAAUGCCCUGUGUGGAUUAUCCUGCUGGAUCUUGGUUGGAUCAGGAGAAGGAGUUGUGUGGUUUUGUCAUUGCUAUUUAUUGGAGUGAGCCUGGGAAAAUCACAAGAAGGGAAAGGUAAGCCUCUUCUGGACAAAUCAUGCCAAGAAAACCCCAUGAUAGGUUUGCCCUAUGGUUGUCAUAAGUUGGAAACAAUUUGAAGGCACACAAUUACAAUACAUUGUCCUGAAGUCAGAAAUCCUUGUAGGAAUACUA